GGAUGUGAGGGCGAUCUGGCUGCGACAUCUGUCACCCCAUUGAUCGCCAGGGUUGAUUCGGCUGAUCUGGCUGGCUAGGCGGGUGUCCCCUUCCUCCCUCACCGCUCCAUGUGUGUCCCUCCCGAAGCUGCACACUCGGUCGAAGAGGACGACCAUCCCCGAUAGAGGAGGACCGUUCGGUCAAGGGUAUACGAGUAGCUGCGCUCCCCUGCUAGAACCUCCAACAAGCUCUCAAAAAUUGUGGUGACCUGAACCAAGAUGGUAUUGCUAGAGUAGUAAGAUGUGGUCAGUAUGAGGAUAAGUAUUGUAAAGUUACAGUCUACAGAACUUU
RNAcentral lists this small nuclear RNA (331 nucleotides) under Castor canadensis (American beaver). Its description in RNAcentral is "7SK RNA (ENSCCNG00000029130.1)". It matches the Rfam family "7SK RNA". From Rfam's summary of the family: 7SK was discovered as an abundant small nuclear RNA in the mid-70s but a possible function has only recently been suggested. Two independent studies have found that 7SK RNA binds the CDK9/cyclin T complex (known as elongation factor P-TEFb). The record is from Rfam by way of RNAcentral. Lineage: Eukaryota; Metazoa; Chordata; Mammalia; Rodentia; Castoridae.